Long non-coding RNA from Hyla sarda, 558 nucleotides. RefSeq lists it as uncharacterized. Lineage: Eukaryota; Metazoa; Chordata; Amphibia; Anura; Hylidae. The transcript has 3 exons. The record is from RefSeq and is a predicted model, not a curated record.
ACUGAGGAUUCAGACGUUUCAGCCAAUCAGAGAGCAGCACUGCUCAAAUAGAACUCCCAGGAGGUAACAGCGUGUCACACAUGUGAUGUCAUAACCAUUGUCCACCAGAGAGCAGCACUGAGCAGAAAUAACACUGCUCCUGCUCAUUCUUCAUCAGUGAGGGGCCGAUGCUGGACACUGUAGGAACGCGGGAAUGUGAAGUUGAAUACAUCACUGUGAUUGAUGCACUAUUUCCAGGAUGUGGAGUAGCAUUUCCGGACUAUCAAGACGUUGUAAUAAGGCACAUAUUUCCGGACUUACAGCAAGAAGUUGGAUGAAGGCAUAAACCCUCGAAUCACGCACAUACACAGACACAUUUGCCCAAAUUAUAGAGGUAACCUCCUUUAGUAUGCCCAGAGGAAGGGCAAUACAGUAGCCAUGGAUUCCCUACAGGUUUCCUCCCCUCUGGAGGUUUUUCCUGUCCUGAGUUAGUUACUGUACGCUCUUUGUGAGUGAUGGAAGGUUACAAAAAUCCCUACACAAACAUUUUAAUAAAUAAUAAAGUUCCCCUGUUUUUAA